AUCUUUAAGUAAUGAUUUAAAGUAAAGCCUGCUCAAUUCUACAAUAGUAAAUAGCCGCAGUCUUACUGUGCUAAGGUAGCAUAAUAAUUAGCCACUCAAUUAGUGGAUAGCAUGAAUGGCUAAACGAGAGAUCAACUGUUUCACCAACUUAAAGCUAAACUAAAUCAUUAGUAAAAAUUCUAAUAUAAAAGAGUGGGACGACAAGACCCUGAUAGAACUUUUCAUUUAGCUGGGGCGGCUAUAUAAACAAACCUUAAUCCAACAUUACACAAAAAUUCUAAUAAAAUUAAUUCAAGUUACCACAGGGAUAACAGCGCAAUUUUUCUUAAAAGAUCAAAUUCAAAGAAAAGAUUACGACCUCGAUGUUGAAUUAAUAUCCUAAAUUUCAGCGCAAAAGCAAUUUUAAGGUGGUCUGUUCGACCAUUAAAUAAUU
This 433-nucleotide ribosomal RNA is filed under the name Artema nephilit. RNAcentral describes it as "partial 16S ribosomal RNA". It matches the Rfam family "Bacterial large subunit ribosomal RNA", at positions 1828 to 2597 of the family's 2925-position model. The record is from RNAcentral. Lineage: Eukaryota; Metazoa; Arthropoda; Arachnida; Araneae; Pholcidae.